UACGUAGGUGGCAAGCGUUAUCCGGAUUUAUUGGGUUUAAAGGGUGCGUAGGCGGGAUGCCAAGUCAGCGGUAAAAAUGCGGUGCUCAACGCCGUCGAGCCGUUGAAACUGGCGUUCUUGAGUGGGCGAGAAGUAUGCGGAAUGCGUGGUGUAGCGGCGAAAUGCAUAGAUAUCACGCAGAACUCCGAUUGCGAAGGCAGCAUACCGGCGCCCUACUGACGCUGAGGCACGAAAGCGUGGGUAUCGAACAGG
RNAcentral lists this ribosomal RNA (252 nucleotides) under uncultured bacterium. RNAcentral's name for it is "partial 16S ribosomal RNA". It matches the Rfam family "Bacterial small subunit ribosomal RNA", at positions 524 to 776 of the family's 1533-position model. The record is from RNAcentral.